This 393-nucleotide ribosomal RNA is filed under the name Theileria equi. RNAcentral's name for it is "SSU rRNA". It matches the Rfam family "Eukaryotic small subunit ribosomal RNA", at positions 495 to 900 of the family's 1831-position model. The record is from RNAcentral. Lineage: Eukaryota; Apicomplexa; Aconoidasida; Piroplasmida; Theileriidae.
UUGAAGUAUUUGAAUUGGAUUGGUGGGGAAUUCAAACCCCUUUCCGAAUAUUCAAUUUGGAGGGCAAGUUCUGGUGCCAGCAGCCGCGGUAAUUUCCAGCUACAAUAGCGUAUAUUAAACUUUGUUUGCAGUUAAAAAGCUUCGUAGUUUGAAUUUUCUCGCUUGCAUACGUUGGUUUCUUCGCUAUGUCGAGUGAUCUUUCGUUGUUGGCUUAGUUUGGGGCAUGUUUCUCAUGACUCGACGUUUUACUUCUGAGAAAAUUAGAGUGCUUCAAGCAGGCUUUUGCCUUGAAUACUUUAGCAUGGAAUAAUGGAGUAGGACUUUGGUUCUAUUUUGUUGGUUUUAGGAGCCGGAGUAAUGGUUAAUAGGAACAGUUGGGGGCAUUCGUAUUUG